AACCUGUGGACAGUGCCUUCAUGAGGAGACUUGGAACUGGAGCUGUAGAUGAUGAUUGUAAGCUAUCGUGUGGGUGCUGGGAUUGAACCAGGUCCUUUGAUAAAGCAGAAACAAAGCUCAACAGAAACAACGCAAGUGAGUCGAAGCCGUCACGUUUAUGGUCGGUUGAUUCUUGCAAGAGCAAAGAGAAGAGUAGUCUACAAAACACACAUCGGGACGAUAGGCCAAUGGCAUUGAUAGGCAAAGGUCAACCUGAACUCUGGCUUCAAGUCAUUCUCCAACACUAACUCAAGAUUCAUUACAGGUCCGAACGGAGGUACCGCCAGUACCCAACUCCUAGAAAAAGAUCCAGUGUGAAAUUUCUAUCAUCUUGUGUUAAGUGAGAGUUUCUCAAUACGGUCACAGGGCACAAGCAUCAUAAAAAAUUAAAACACGCACACACACAGGAAACAUUGAAAAUUAAUAAAUUUAAAAAGAUUGAUUUAGAAUAAAAUCUAAAUUCCUUAUUCUGGGCUACAAAGUGCUGCCUAAUUUUGGAUAAGUUGGACUUGAAAAACAAAACAACUUUUGUGCUUCCAAGAACAGUGUUAGAGAAGUAAAAAGACAGUCCAUGCAACUAGAGACUAGUGUUGGCCAGCCACGUACCUGGCAAGAGACAUAAUCUCAAACAUAAAAAGAAUCCUUACAACAACGAAAAGAUGAACAGCUCACAUUGAAAAUGGGCAAAUAAUUUGAGACAUUCCUCCAAAGCAAAUGAACAGGUAGCCACUAAGAGAACAUGAAACUGUGCUUAGAACAAUGAGACGCAGAGAGUGGCAGCACCCAGCCACAAUCAGGCUGUCACACUCAAGCGGAUGGCUGGAGUGACAAAGAGGGACAGUCACAGGAGUCAGUGAGGGUGACACUGAGGAGUGAGCAGAGAGAUCCAAGCCUUUGCAUCACUGGUGGGAAUGUGACAUGUGUUGCUCUGGAUAAUGGCCCAGGUGUCUCUAAAAGCCCAGACAUAUAGAUUCUACAUGACCCACCAGUUCCACCCAAAUGAUCCUACCUACCACCAAAAAUGAACAUACUUGAGCACACGCACACAUAAAAUUUAACACAUUUAUCACAUAUAAACUUUGAAAAGUUACGUUAAGUAAAAGAAGCCAAUCGUGAAAGAUUAUACAUGGUAUGAUUCCAUUUAAAUGCAGCAUUCAAAUGGGAAAUCUCUGAGUGGCACUGGCUGUCCUGGAACGCUGAUCUGUAGACCAGACUGGUCCUAAACUGAUUCUGCCUCCAAGUUCUGAGAUUAAAGGCGUGUGCCUAGCCUAACGGUAUACUUCGAGUGGGUGAAUUGUAUAGUAUUUUAAUUAUUUCUCAAUAAAAUGUUUUUAAAAA
This is a long non-coding RNA of Mastomys coucha (southern multimammate mouse), 1377 nucleotides long. RefSeq lists it as uncharacterized. Lineage: Eukaryota; Metazoa; Chordata; Mammalia; Rodentia; Muridae. The record is from RefSeq and is a predicted model, not a curated record. The transcript has 2 exons.